Molecule: long non-coding RNA, 1157 nt
Filed under: Strigops habroptila (Kakapo)
Lineage: Eukaryota; Metazoa; Chordata; Aves; Psittaciformes; Psittacidae
Description: lncRNA (ENSSHBG00005000501.1)
Source: RNAcentral
UUUUUUUUUCCAAAUUACUAUUUUUUAAAUAAGAUAUCAUACUGGCUAUGAUAUGAAUCAUAACUAAAGAAUGUAGUUUGCAUAUAUUUGGCCUGAGUUCUACGUAGUCUUGCAUGCCCUUGUAUUUAGAGACUAUUAACUUCUUUAACACAAUGAAGUUAGUUCUUGUAGUCCCCUUCAGAAUUUGGCACAAACUAUGUUACACAAUUUAGUGAAGGUGACUUUUGCUAGCAUAUAAAAAUUUCUAAUUGGAUAUUAUCAGAGUAAGCACAAUUUUUAUCAGAUCACUUAUGUUUCAAAUGCGUUUAAUUAUAACACUGAAAGAACAUUAAGAAUGCAUUAGUUUUACUGUUUAACUUUGAUAUUUUCAGUUUAGGUGAUGACUCGCAUGUUUCACUUCUGAGUAAUCACUUUCUAAUUGGAACCUCAGAUUCUCAUAUUCUAUCUGAAGUGAUUGAGCACCGAGUGCGGCAUGCAAGGCCGGGGUUUUUUAAAGAACCUAUUCUUUCAAAUCUCUUGAUUUUUCUUUUAAAUUCUAUUGAGAUUCUAGUUUUUAUUUUAAAGGGAUGAAAUACCACAUAUGCUACAAGAGCCAAUUCUGACAAGGCAGCAUUGAGAUACUUUUUUUGAAAUUGGAAAUUGUAGUCAAUUCCCAAACAGUGCAGUAUUUCCAAAAUACCUGACCUACUGAGUUUCCAUUUUUAUUUAUCAUCGGAGUUGCCUAGACAUGGUAGGCGCCUUUAUUGAACUAGCCAUGUCUCUUUAAAACACUGGUUUAGAAUAAACCCAGACUAGUAGUAUCCCAUAGAUGCUUUAAAGUCAGGCGCUGAAUAACUAUAAAACAGUAGUUCCAACAACUUGCAGUUGAGGAAAUCUCUGUAAGUAAUUCAGUAGGCAGCAGCCCAGAAUACAUAACGGAUUCUUUGAAGAGUUAAAAUGCAUCCUUGAGCAUGCACUGGAACGUGGCUAUUAAAAACGUUACAGUGCUGGAAUGUCUUUCUGAAAUUCUGUGCAUUAGCAUGGCAGUGUAAUUGACAAGAGCAAACUACUCUGAUAAAACAUAAUUCAGAUGGAUUAUUUGAGAUCUCAUGUUUUCUAAUGGAACAAUUCUUUUUUCCUCAUUAAAACAAAACUUCUGGGUUUUCUUGCAUGUGAAA